GAUGAACGCUGGCGGCGUGCAUAACACAUUCAAGUCGAACGAGGUAGCAAUACCUAGUGGCGGACGGGUGAGUAACGCGUGAGCAACCUGCCCUUGUGUGGGGGAUACCGUCUGGAAACGGACGUUAAUACCGCAUAACGUUACGGAAUCGCAUGGUUCUGUAACCAAAGAUUUAUUGCGCAAGGAUGGGCUCGCGUUGGAUUAGAUAGUUGGUGAGGUAACGGCCCACCAAGUCUGCGAUCCAUAGCCGGACUGAGAGGUUGGCCGGCCACAUUGGGACUGAGACACGGCCCAGACUCCUACGGGAGGCAGCAGUGGGGAAUAUUGGGCAAUGGGCGCAAGCCUGACCCAGCAACGCCGCGUGAAGGAAGAAGGCUUUCGGGUUGUAAACUUCUUUUGUCAGGGACGAAUUCUGACGGUACCUGACGAAUAAGCCACGGCUAACUACGUG
This 451-nucleotide ribosomal RNA is filed under the name uncultured bacterium. Its description in RNAcentral is "bacterial SSU rRNA". It matches the Rfam family "Bacterial small subunit ribosomal RNA", at positions 28 to 507 of the family's 1533-position model. The record is from RNAcentral.